Molecule: ribosomal RNA, 260 nt
Filed under: uncultured bacterium
Lineage: Bacteria
Description: partial 16S ribosomal RNA
Rfam family: Bacterial small subunit ribosomal RNA
Source: RNAcentral
UACGUAGGGGGCUAGCGUUGUCCGGAAUCGAUUGGGCGGUAAAGAGCGUGUAGGCGGCCCGGUAAGUCCGCUGUAAAAGUCAAAGGGCUCAACCCUUUGAAUGUCAGUGGAUACUGCCGGGCUAGAGUCCGGAAGAGGCGAGUGGAACUCCGUGGAUGUAGCGGUGGAAUGCGCAGAUAUCAGGAGGAACACCGGUGGCGAAGGCGGGUCUCUGGGCCGAUAUUGACGCUGGAGGAGCGAAAGCGUGGGGAGCGAACAGG